Molecule: ribosomal RNA, 624 nt
Filed under: Triticum aestivum (bread wheat)
Lineage: Eukaryota; Viridiplantae; Streptophyta; Magnoliopsida; Poales; Poaceae
Description: partial small subunit ribosomal RNA
Source: RNAcentral
AUGGUUUGGUCCAUCCGCGUUCCCUUGAAGAUUCGCAUCUUCAUGUGGCAGUGGAUUCGCGGUAGGGUCCCGUCUGGGGUGGAGGUCUGCAAGCGCAAUGGCCCGUGUACUGGUAUUUGCCCGCUCUGUGGUGUUCCGAAAGACUCGAACCACAUCUUCUUCUCCUGCGUCUUCGCCCAGUUCCUCUGGAGCUGCUUUUGAGAGGUGCUCGGUGGAAGUUGGUGCCACACCAAUUUCUCGGACUUAUUUGCUGAACUCCAGCUGAACCCCGCGACCUCUCGCCACAUUAGGUGGCUUGAGGUUGGGGUUCUCGCCUGGACCCUCUGGACCGUUCGCAAUAAGCUUGUGAUUCAGCGUACUCCCCUUCGACGGGCUACUGACGCUCUCUUCAAAUUCUCGGGUUUCUUGCAGCUUUGGCGGCCGCUUAGCCGCCCCCGGACCGUGACGCCAUCUCAGCCUUCAUCGCCGACCUUCGUUCGAUGGCCGUCUGCCUGUCGCCGCCGCCUCCUCCGCCUCCGCCGGAUCCAGACUAGGCUCCCUGCGACCGGCGUGUGUUGUUUUCUUAUUUAUUUUUUUGGGCUUGUUGAGCUGUGCCCUCAGCAAAACCUGUGUACUUUGCCGUGA